Molecule: small nuclear RNA, 107 nt
Organism: Fukomys damarensis (Damara mole-rat)
Lineage: Eukaryota; Metazoa; Chordata; Mammalia; Rodentia; Bathyergidae
Source: Ensembl
AUGCUCGCUUCAGCAGCACAUAUACUAAAACUGGAAUAAUACAGAGAAGAUUAGCAUGGGCCCUGCACAAGGAAGACACACAAAUUUGUGAAGUGUUCCAUAUUUUU